GAUGAACGCUGGCGGCGUGCUUAACACAUGCAAGUCGAACGAAGCACUUUAUUUGAUUUCCUUCGGGACUGAUUAUUUUGUGACUGAGUGGCAGACGGGUGAGUAACGCGUGGGUAACCUGCCUUGUACAGGGGGAUAACAGUUGGAAACGGCUGCUAAUACCGCAUAAGCGCACAGCAUCGCAUGAUGCAGUGUGAAAAACUCCGGUGGUAUAAGAUGGACCCGCGUUGGAUUAGCUAGUUGGUGAGGUAACGGCCCACCAAGGCGACGAUCCAUAGCCGACCUGAGAGGGUGACCGGCCACAUUGGGACUGAGACACGGCCCAAACUCCUACGGGAGGCAGCAGUGGGGAAUAUUGCACAAUGGGCGAAAGCCUGAUGCAGCGACGCCGCGUGAGCGAAGAAGUAUUUCGGUAUGUAAAGCUCUAUCAGCAGGGAAGAUAAUGACGGUACCUGACUAAGAAGCACCGGCUAAAUACGUG
This 481-nucleotide ribosomal RNA is filed under the name uncultured bacterium. Its description in RNAcentral is "partial 16S ribosomal RNA". It matches the Rfam family "Bacterial small subunit ribosomal RNA", at positions 28 to 507 of the family's 1533-position model. The record is from RNAcentral.